GACAGAGGGGGCAAGCGUUGCUCGGAAUUACUGGGCGUAAAGGGCGCGUAGGCGGGAUGGCAAGUCGGUCGUGAAAUCCUUCGGCUCAACCGAAGAACGUCGAUCGAUACUGCUGUUCUAGAGGGUUGCAGAGGAGACUGGAAUUCCCGGUGUAGUGGUGAAAUGCGUAGAGAUCGGGAGGAACACCUGUGGCGAAGGCGGCCCCCUGGGCCGGCCCUGACACUGAGACGCGAAGGCGUGGGGAGCGAACGGG
This 253-nucleotide ribosomal RNA is filed under the name uncultured bacterium. RNAcentral describes it as "partial 16S ribosomal RNA". It matches the Rfam family "Bacterial small subunit ribosomal RNA", at positions 524 to 776 of the family's 1533-position model. The record is from RNAcentral.